UUUCCUCCUUAUUUUCCCCUUUUAGGUGGUGGAAUUGCCUCUCUGUCCGUGUGCUGAGCUCCGGCUGCAGGGGACUGUCAGGCAUUGUCGGCUCUGUCCCCUGGUGUCAUUUCCCUGCCUGAGCUGGCUGUGAGCUGGUUGGGACGGCGAGGCCGGAGAGAGCGAGCAGAGGAGCCUCGGGCUGGAGAGGGGCAGGAGAAAGGCCCUGUGGGCAAAGGGACCUCCCUGUGUGCCCAGGGCCCUGCGGGGGACAGGAUGGACACGCUGGGGUCACUCUGAGGGAAGUGAGGGUCAAUCCAAAGCAAACCCUGCUCAACCUCCAAAUCCCAGGAUAAGUUCUACAGGCUGCUAAGUGAGGGACUAAAAACACACAUAAAUGGAACCAAGAGCACUAAUAAGGUCCCUGGGAAUCCCAUUACAUUGUUGUCAUAGAGUUUUUAACAGAUUUUUCAGUUUUUUAUGACAGCAAUGUGUUUCUUCCUAUGGAUUUUUCC
Neopelma chrysocephalum (saffron-crested tyrant-manakin) is the source of this 494-nucleotide long non-coding RNA. RefSeq lists it as uncharacterized. The record is from RefSeq and is a predicted model, not a curated record. The transcript is spliced from 3 exons. NCBI's taxonomy places the organism in Eukaryota, Metazoa, Chordata, Aves, Passeriformes, Pipridae.